AGUGAACGCUGGCGGUAGGCCUAACACAUGCAAGUCGAACGGCAGCACAGUAAGAGCUUGCUCUUACGGGUGGCGAGUGGCGGACGGGUGAGGAAUACAUCGGCAUCUACUUUUUCGUGGGGGAUAACGUAGGGAAACUUACGCUAAUACCGCAUACGACCUACGGGUGAAAGCAGGGGAUCUUCGGACCUUGCGCGAUUGAAUGAGCCGAUGUCGGAUUAGCUAGUUGGCGGGGUAAAGGCCCACCAAGGCGACGAUCCGUAGCUGGUCUGAGAGGAUGAUCAGCCACACUGGAACUGAGACACGGUCCAGACUCCUACGGGAGGCAGCAGUGGGGAAUAUUGGACAAUGGGCGCAAGCCUGAUCCAGCCAUACCGCGUGGGUGAAGAAGGCCUUCGGGUUGUAAAGCCCUUUUGUUGGGAAAGAAAAGCAGCAGAUUAAUACCCCGCUGUUCUGACGGUACCCAAAGAAUAAGCACCGGCUAACUUCGUG
RNAcentral lists this ribosomal RNA (492 nucleotides) under uncultured bacterium. Its description in RNAcentral is "partial 16S ribosomal RNA". It matches the Rfam family "Bacterial small subunit ribosomal RNA", at positions 29 to 507 of the family's 1533-position model. The record is from RNAcentral.